Molecule: ribosomal RNA, 305 nt
Filed under: uncultured bacterium
Lineage: Bacteria
Description: bacterial SSU rRNA
Rfam family: Bacterial small subunit ribosomal RNA
Source: RNAcentral
UUCUACGGGAGGCAGCAGUGAGGAAUAUUGGUCAAUGGGCGGGAGCCUGAACCAGCCAAGUCGCGUGAGGGAAGACGGUCCUAUGGAUUGUAAACCUCUUUUGUCGGGGAGCAAAGAGGCCACGUGUGGUCAAAAGCGAGGGUACCCGAAGAAAAAGCAUCGGCUAACUCCGUGCCAGCAGCCGCGGUAAUACGGAGGAUGCGAGCGUUAUCCGGAUUUAUUGGGUUUAAAGGGUGCGUAGGCGGGACGGUAAGUCAGCGGUAAAAAUGCGGAGCUCACCUCCGUCUAGCCGUUGAAACUGCCGU